Molecule: non-coding RNA, 3050 nt
Organism: Misgurnus anguillicaudatus (oriental weatherfish)
Lineage: Eukaryota; Metazoa; Chordata; Actinopteri; Cypriniformes; Cobitidae
Source: RefSeq, a predicted model, not a curated record
CAUCCUCACUCCCAACUCGUAACAUAUUGACGCUUGGUCAGGAGCCCUUUGCGUCAAUACUAUACGCACAGGGUACCCCUUUAGCGUUAUUUUUUGACGUCCUGGGUUUCCCAAUGACUUCUAUAGGAACGCCUGCGGCGUUGACAUUUGACGUGUUAAGCACGGGUAAAAUGAGAACAAAAAUAGGAAUAAAAUAAGCAUAAAAAUAAAGAAUUUGCUACAAUAAAUUAGUUAUGGCAGGGAUUGUCAUACUGUUUUUAAUGUGCUGCGAUUAUGUUUGGUUAUUCAAUGAUUAAUCAUUGCAAACGCAAUGCAAUGCAAUUAACAUUUUACAUUAUAUUUAUUUAAUUGUUUGUUUGUUUAUUUAUUUAUUGGUUGGUUGGUUGGUUGGUUGGUUGGUUGGUUUAUUGAUAGAUUUUUAUUUUAUUUUUUUUAUUAAUAAAUCCAACAAUUACUACCGCUGACGUCACUGUAAGGCGCGAUCCAUUGCGAUUUUACACUUGGUAAGUAGAACAGACAUCAAUAUAGACGGGAACAAUCCUUAAAUUUGCGUAGUAAUAAUCGUUCAAUCACGGUAAAAUUUUGUGUUUAGAACCUUUAGAAGUGUCUCACGGCAUUUCGUGAUUUGGUCACGAAAUUUAAUCUAUUUAUUCGUGGCAGGAACACGUUUAUUUCGUUAUUUUCGUAAUUCCAGCACGUUUUUUAAACUAAUGUAUUUCAAUUGGAUGGAUCUUUCGUGCAUAUAGCACGAUUUUUUCUGCCAGUCGGGCUGCAGUAGGGAAGCUAAACAUUUAUUCACAAGAUCUUAUCAAGACUGCAAUAUAUAAGAAUAAAUAGGAAUCGGCAACAAUUAACGAUCUAUGCCAGCGCAAGUCAAUAUUUAUCUGGUCAUUUUCAACUGGUUUUUAAUGUUAAAAGUCCCUCGCAGUCAACAGCUGUUUCCGGUGAGUUCUCAACUGCAGGAUCAAUAGCAUUCAGCAGUGAGUUUAACAACGCUCAAAUGUGGGUAAAAUAACAUUCAGAGAGGAGUUUUAUUAAAACAGCGUUCAACUGCAUGUAAGACAACCUUUUAGAGGUGAGUUUAACAACGCUCCACGGCGCGUGAGAUUAAGUAUUUUAAGCGUUUUCUGAUCAUGUAUUGCUUAUUAGACGUGAUGCAUGCUGGGUGUUAAAUAAUUUUUAUCAAAUGAUCGUUGAUGUUAAUAAAUAUAGAUCUAAAUAUACAUUUUACUUGUGUUCGAUUAAUUAAUAAGUUGUUUAAUUAUUAAUUUGUUUAUUUAAAGUCCUGUAAUAACUGUGACGUCAUCGAAUGAGACGAAGGUCCAUGGCUGUUUCAACUCGGAAGUUGAGAUGAAGAACUCCAAGAACAUCUCUUGAUCUUGGAUAAGUUGGUUGAUGGUCAAGAACUAAAGGAUGAGCUCCAAAGUCUUGAUGACUUUCUUGGUGAACUGCAAGAAAGGCAGCAGCACCAAUAAAGACACCUGAGCCGAGGGUGCAUUGGAGAAAAAGAGACAUUGAUGGAAAUAUUGUCUAUGCAAGGCCAAGGUCAAGCAGGAAUCAACAAAAGAAAGACUGGUAACUAGACUGUGCCGCUAGCCUUGGGACAAGUUGGAAUUUUGUAUGUAUGUAUACUUUAUUGUAUAUUACAGAUAAAUGUUGCUUUGUGAUGUUUUUAUCCUCUAAAGCUGAUCACAUUCGGAACACUGAUCCUCCCAAUGCUCCUGACACUCAUUGUGAGGUGGCCUUUGCUCCAGAGACUGUUGGUGUGUACUUCAAUGUGUUUAAAUUACAGAAUAUGACAGUGGGUUAUAAGAGUGUAUUCACUGAACGAUUUCUCAAGUAAUGACGCAUCACCUCCUGGAACCCCAAGAGAUCCUCUUCAGGCUUCCUCAAACUGGAGCACACACAAAUUCUCUUUUCAGAGAGGUGGAGGACAGAGAGACCCUGUCUGCUGAACACGGCUGUGGCACAAGAAAAUGUGGCAGCACAUCUGCCAGAGUGUGGGAGAAGCCCAAGCUGUUAUCCAGUGUUGUGACUGACGACCUCGUCCCUUCUUCUGUGCUGAAUGUGACGUCAUCAUGUCCUCCAUAGCAGAGAUGCCAUGACUGCUGGAUUCUUCCAGCCAUUGCCUCCAACAACUGUUGUGGUGGAUAAGGCUCUUUCCCAUUGUGAGUCAUUAAGUGUCUGUCCAGGAAAGAGUUGCUGUGGUCACAAUUAAUGAAAUGAAGAUGGCGGCACCAGGACUGUCCUGUCAAGCAUUUUUAAGAAUGCUGGAUCAGCGAACUGUCUGCUUUGGUUGUACUGGCAAGAUCUCAGCAGACAGUUUUCAGAAACGUUUUUUUGGCUUUGCGAUUCAAGGUGGACAAUAUAUUCAAAUCUGAGGAACCGGACAUCUUUGAAGGCAUCUUCAUAGCUAAGGAUGAGGAUAUUACCAAACUUGUAAAAUUGUAGAUGAUAAUUACACUAUAGGACUACAAUAUCCUCUUAUUGAAUAGUUUGUGUAGGAAAGUCUUAUUUUCACCAUUUUCCAUAUUGUAGGUCAGUGGAAGAGGUGUUUGUGGAGGGGAGUGGUCAGCAGCCAGAGAGACCUCCCAAAAACUGCAAGCAACAUAGACGAGGAGGGAUUGGAGUUGUGGUGAAAUGGAGUAUGGCAUAUCAGGAUGGUUGUGGAUUAACACUAGGAGAGGAGGUGGAACAGUGCAAUGCCUUCCUCUCUAGGAUUCCAGUGACCACAAAACACAUUUCAAAAGCAGGACGCGCAGACAUGCUGACUCUCAUGGCCAUGCACUGACAUCAGCAAACGUUUAACAAUUUAGCCAUCUCAAAUACUCGCCGAUAUCAGAAGAUUCACCAAGCAAGAGACUGUUACCUACAAGUUUUGUCGGGAGCCGAGAACAUCAACUUCUUGUAUAGAAGUUGAUGAGUACGACAGUGACUUUGACAUUUCUGGUGAUGGUCUGUAAUCCACAAGACUGUGAUACCUUCCAUUAUUCUGGACAAAGAUUUCUAACUGUCAAUAUAAAGCAAUUAAUAAAAUCUACUUUUCAUAA